UCCUCUGUGUGAGCAGGCAGGAUGGCAGGGGCGGAGGUCUACGGCCCCGUUAACCCCUCCUGCAAGAUCAUGACCUUCAGGCCCACCGUGGAGGAAUUCAGAGACUUCAACCGGUACCUGGCCUACAUGGAGGCCCAGGGGGCGCACCGCGCUGGCCUCGCCAAGGUGAUUCCUCCUAAGGGCUGGCGUCCUCGGUGUAGCUAUGAUGAUAUUGAUGACCUGGUGAUCCACGCCCCUAUCCAGCAGAUGGUUGCUGGCCAGUCAGGCCUGUUCACUCAGUUCAACAUCCAGAAGAAACCGCUCAGCGUUAAGGAGUUUAGACGCCUCGCCAACAGUGACAAAUAUUGUACUCCCCGCUACCUGAACUAUGAGGACCUGGAGAGGAAGUACUGGAAGAACCUAACCUUCGUAUCUCCCAUAUAUGGAGCUGACGUCCCCGGGAGCCUCUAUGACGAGGGUAUAGAGGAGUGGAACAUCGGCCACCUCAACUCCAUCCUGGAUGUGAUUGAAGAGGACUGUGGUGUUUCUAUCCAGGGGGUGAACACACCCUACCUGUACUUCGGCAUGUGGAAGACCAGCUUCUCCUGGCACACUGAAGACAUGGACCUUUAUAGCAUCAACUACCUGCACUUUGGAGAGCCCAAGUCCUGGUAUGCCAUCCCCCCUGAGCAUGGGAAGAGACUGGAGAGACUGGCUACAGGUUUCUUCCCCAACGGGUUUAAAGGGUGUGAGGCUUUUCUCCGUCACAAGAUGACCCUGAUCUCCCCUUCCAUCCUAAAGAAGUACAGCAUCCCCUUCGACAAGAUCACCCAGGAGGCAGGGGAGUUUAUGAUCACCUUUCCCUAUGGUUACCACGCUGGCUUCAACCACGGCUUCAACUGUGCGGAGUCGACCAACUUCGCCAGUGUCCGAUGGAUUGACUACGGCAAGGUGGCCACUCAGUGUACAUGCAGUAAAGACAUGGUGAAGAUCAGCAUGGAUCCCUUUGUGAAGUGGUUCCAACCGGACCGCUAUGCUGUAUGGAAGCUGGGGAAAGACUCCUGUCCUCUGGACCACACCCGAGCCACGCCCGCCACCACCCCAGAACUGCAGAACUGGCUUCAGCGCAGCCGGGUCAAGACCCCUGUGAACAGCAGCCUCUCACACCCACGGACCAGAUCCAAGCGCCUGAGGACCAGCGAGGAGCCUGUAGCCUUGGAAGGGUGCUCUGUCCUGGGUAGGAGGAGAGGCCUCGGAGGCCCCCUGGGUCCCAAGGUCCGGCGAGGCUGCAGGGCCGGGGAGGAUGAGGACGAUGAGGAGGAAGGACCGGAUCAGACUGAGAAUACACUCCGGCUCCCUGGUCCUUGUCGGCAGAUGUGUGUGGUGAAAGUCAACAGAAUGGAAGUGGAGAGAGACCGGUUGGCCUUCCCCUGUCCUCCUGAACCUCUGCGUCCCUCGUCUUUCCCCUCUCCCUCUUCCGACUUCUCUUCUCGCCCCUCUCCCCUUCUGACCCCUGUCUCAGUGGACCCCACAGAACAAGGGACAGGGGCGGGGACUCACCCUUCACCCCAUCUGCAUCCCGCUAACCCUCCACAGAACCCCUCGGGGUCAGAGUUCGCAGAGGUCAUUAAAGGACCCCAUCAGAGGUCCGAGGCUGCCCCUACACCUGCCCGAUCAGAAAGAAGAGAAAUCCCCGGAGGACCGUUGAAGUCAGUAUGUAUAGAAUCGACCCCGCUGGGACAGGUCCCCGAGGACUGCUCUGUGAAUGUCCACCCUUUACGGACCAGGUUACCUUCCCCCAGAACGGUGCACCCGACUGGGGCUCAGGGGUGGACGGACUCGGCCUGUGGCCCUGGAGCUUUUCAAUCAAGUUCUUCUUGUGUAGAGAAGUCUUCUUUAAACCUAACCUCAACCCCCAGCACUGAGUAUAAAAUGGAUAAGUGUCAAGGUACCGCGGUAAAUACUACUACUACGCACAGCAGUCACACCUCUGAAAGCAAAACACCAGCACUUUACAAUGACAUUUACACGGAUACUGACUCUGGGUCCAGAGGACGUGUUAUUUCCAGCUCUGGUUCUGGUUCUGGUCCAGCUAGCUUGUUCAGGUGUAGUGAAAAAAACUACACUCCCGUUGAAAACCGUUCCUCUCUCCCUGUGUGUACUACACACAACCGUGUCCCCAUACGAAACCCUUCCCUUCUUCCGAGGUGUAGUUUACAAGACUGUUGCCCUCCUCUCCUCCAGAGGAACAACGGGGUGGACAUGCCCUUCCUCACUCCAGAACUAUCUGGAGAGACGAGGUUCUGCCCGCCCCUGCCGCCCGUUCUCACCCAGGAGAUGCCCUCCCUCACACUCGCCGUCAGCGGAGGUCACGCCGAGAUCAAAGGUCAGAGUUCGUCGUCCUCCUCGACUGGCCGACACGGUGGUGCUCUAACCUCACCGGAUUUGCCGGGCAGUCACCCGGUCCUCGCCCCCGUGCUCCGACGCGAGACACCCACGACCCUCUCGCCAGGAACGGAAACGUUAACGUGCGAGGUGGAGUUGGCGUCAAAGAAGUCGGAGCAAGAGGAUUUUCGACCGUUAGCGCCUUGCAGAGACUGGCGCUUGGGUUCUGCUGAAGACCACCACCAUAGACCAGAGCUGGAUUUACAGGUAACGGCUUACGUGGCUAAUGCAACUAGCAACGCUCGGCCCAAAAUGGACACCUCUGAACACAAAAUGGCCCCCUCUCGGCACUCUGGUCCUACUGAAGACCACCACCAUAGGCCAGAGCUGGAGUUACAGGUAGCAGCUUACGCGGCUAGUGCAACUAGCGGCGCUCAACCCGAAAUGGACGCCUCUGAACACAAAAUGGCCCCCUCUCGGCACUCUGGUCCUACUGAAGACCACCACCAUAGGCCAGAGCUGGAGUUACAGGUAGCAGCUUACGCGGCUAGUGCAACUAGCGACGCUCAACCCGAAAUGGACGCCUCUCUGCAGAAAAUGGCCGCCGGCACUUCCCACCGAGAAGCACUACCAAUCCAAACAUUGUCUGAGGCAGUGCUGACCCCCGAGAACCACUGUAGUCAAACCUCCGCGGAGACCCUUGCUAGCAAUAAUAACCACAUGCUCUGUGACGUUACACUACUGCCAGCGCAGAAAACCCAGAAACACAGGGCCUCGGCGGCAACUGCAGCAGUGCCCACGGACUCCGACUCAGAGGGAUCCUCCCAAAGAGACCAUGUAUUUAGAGACUCCAGUACUCAGGGUUUAUGUCUAGCGAGCACCAGUUUGACUUGUAAAGAUAAGUUGGCACACUCUUCUGAGCUGAGUGAAUUAAAUGACCAUUCAGCAACGGUACAACACCAAAACAACCAUGACCAAACUCCACACUCAAACAUGGAUACCGUUUGUAGUUCCCGAAAUGUGGAUUCCAUUUGUAGUUCCCGAAACGUGGAUUCCAUUUGUAGUUCCCGAAACGUGGAUUCCAUUUGUAGUUCCCAAAACGUGGAUUCCAUUUGUAGUUCUCGAAACGUGGACUCUGUUUGUAGUUCCCAAAGCCUCUACCUGGAGCCCAAACCUUUCUCAGACGGCAUCUGGAAGAACCUCAACUCCCAGAGUCCUGCGGUGCUCAUCGAGAGCCUCCACCACCCGGAGCUCCCCGCCGACUAUACCCACGAUGCACUACCUUACACCAUGUGGACCGAGCCGCAGUGCAAAGAGGUCACAGACCUCGAUCACGAAACUGAGACGGACGACCAGGACCCAGAGGGACAUGGGGACGGGCCUCUCACCUGGGCCCAGCUGGAGUCCACCUCUCUGGGGUCGGCCGGUGUCGGGGAGCCCCUGGGCCUCUGUGGAGACUUUGAGCUCCAGAGAGGGGAGGUGGAGGCAGCGGAAGCCCUGGCUCUGUGCAGGGAACUGGGGGUGGAGAGGGAGGCCGAGGGGGCUCUAGAAGCUGACCCUCCCGAAUCGCCCUUGGAGGAGAGACCGGGGAAGGAGAGGUGUCAGAUAUGGAAGAGGGAGAUUCGGAGGAUGAGGGGCAGAGCAGCACGAGGGAGGAGAGUAGUAGUGAGUCAUCGGAAGGAGAGGCUGAAGAAGAGGAGGAAGACUAUGAUAAUGAUUUGAGCGACUUUGAGUGUGGCGACUCGGGGCUGGAACCUGGAGAGGUUUGCACUUACCCUGUUGCUCCGCUGGUGAAGAGAACCAGUAAGAGCUGGCGUCGCCCUCUGAGGAGGCCCACCGCCCGGGCCGUGCCCUCCACUG
Oncorhynchus masou masou (cherry salmon) is the source of this 4224-nucleotide RNA transcript. RefSeq lists it as uncharacterized. Lineage: Eukaryota; Metazoa; Chordata; Actinopteri; Salmoniformes; Salmonidae. The record is from RefSeq and is a predicted model, not a curated record. The transcript is spliced from 11 exons.